GACGAACGCUGGCGGCGCGCCUAACACAUGCAAGUCGAACGGAGUUAUUUCAGCAGAAGCUUUCGGGUGGACGCAGGGAUAACUUAGUGGCGAACGGGUGAGUAACACGUGAGGAACCUGCCCUGGAGUGGGGGACAACAGUUGGAAACGACUGCUAAUACCGCAUAAGCCCACGGUGCCGCAUGGCACAGCGGGAAAAGGAUUUAUUCGCUUCAGGAUGGACUCGCGUCCAAUUAGCUAGUUGGUGAGGUAACGGCCCACCAAGGCGACGAUUGGUAGCCGGACUGAGAGGUUGAACGGCCACAUUGGGACUGAGACACGGCCCAG
RNAcentral lists this ribosomal RNA (327 nucleotides) under uncultured bacterium. Its description in RNAcentral is "bacterial SSU rRNA". It matches the Rfam family "Bacterial small subunit ribosomal RNA", at positions 28 to 334 of the family's 1533-position model. The record is from RNAcentral.